Molecule: non-coding RNA, 30 nt
Filed under: Mus musculus (house mouse)
Lineage: Eukaryota; Metazoa; Chordata; Mammalia; Rodentia; Muridae
Source: RNAcentral
UGGAGCUUGAAUAUGGUAAACACGAUUUCC